Long non-coding RNA from Sabethes cyaneus, 693 nucleotides. RefSeq lists it as uncharacterized. The record is from RefSeq and is a predicted model, not a curated record. Lineage: Eukaryota; Metazoa; Arthropoda; Insecta; Diptera; Culicidae. The transcript has 3 exons.
UAAUGAUAAUGGUAGCGAUGACGACGAUGAUGGAUUGCGGUGGAGGAGAUCGUGCAGCCACCAUUAUCCGUCAGUGGCGUUGGUGAAUGAAACUGGUGGCGUGUUUUGGUAAAUAUCGGAAAAAUAUUGAUCGGCAUUUUUUUGUCAGCAGUGUGGCGUCAACAUUCCUUUUCCACAUCGACUAUCAGUCAAUGCUAUUAGCUAUUUCUAUCCAGUUCAACACCACAUCAUCACGACGGUGAGGAAAAUUUUCACUGAAAGCGAAAUCGUGCUGCAUUGCCAUAUACUGCCGUGUAUCAUUCUUUGGUUCGUGCAACGGCAACAAGGCGAAAAAGGGGCUGACAAAAUCGGGAUAAAAAGCUGAUACAACCGGGGGUACACAAAAUCGAGGAUACACAAAAUUGGGAGCUGACAAAAUCGAAACAUUACUGUACUCAUCACACAUCUAGCGAAAGUCGGUAGGCUUCGGUGGGCUAGACACGUCGUGAGGAUGCCAGGUGACAGGGCGAUGCAAACGGUCCUUUUCAACAACAACCCCAUCGGUACCAAGAACGAAUGGACCCAACGUGCAAGAUGGCUCGACCAGGUCGACAGCAACUUACGACUUCUGAGAAGCCUGGGAAAUUGGCGACGUGUGGCCCAAGGUCGAGCAGAAUGGAGACGACUGUUUGAAACAGCGCCAGCCACCCCAGC